Molecule: ribosomal RNA, 819 nt
Filed under: Juxtiphoma eupyrena
Lineage: Eukaryota; Fungi; Ascomycota; Dothideomycetes; Pleosporales; Didymellaceae
Also listed under: 1 other name
Description: partial large subunit ribosomal RNA
Rfam family: Eukaryotic large subunit ribosomal RNA
Source: RNAcentral
ACAGGGAUUGCCCUAGUAACGGCGAGUGAAGCGGCAACAGCUCAAAUUUGAAAUCUGGCGUCUUUGGCGUCCGAGUUGUAAUUUGCAGAGGGCGCUUUGGCAUUGGCAGCGGUCCAAGUUCCUUGGAACAGGACGUCACAGAGGGUGAGAAUCCCGUACGUGGUCGCUAGCCUUUACCGUGUAAAGCCCCUUCGACGAGUCGAGUUGUUUGGGAAUGCAGCUCUAAAUGGGAGGUAAAUUUCUUCUAAAGCUAAAUACUGGCCAGAGACCGAUAGCGCACAAGUAGAGUGAUCGAAAGAUGAAAAGCACUUUGGAAAGAGAGUUAAAAAGCACGUGAAAUUGUUGAAAGGGAAGCGCUUGCAGCCAGACUUGCCUGUAGUUGCUCAUCCGGGUUUUUACCCGGUGCACUCUUCUAUAGGCAGGCCAGCAUCAGUUUGGGCGGUUGGAUAAAGGUCUCUGUCAUGUACCUCUCUUCGGGGAGAACUUAUAGGGGAGACGACAUGCAACCAGCCUGGACUGAGGUCCGCGCAUCUGCUAGGAUGCUGGCGUAAUGGCUGUAAGCGGCCCGUCUUGAAACACGGACCAAGGAGUCUAACAUCUAUGCGAGUGUUUGGGUGUCAAGCCCGAGCGCGUAAUGAAAGUGAACGGAGGUGGGAACCCCUCGGGGUGCACCAUCGACCGAUCCUGAUGUCUUCGGAUGGAUUUGAGUAAGAGCAUAGCUGUUGGGACCCGAAAGAUGGUGAACUAUGCUUGAAUAGGGUGAAGCCAGAGGAAACUCUGGUGGAGGCUCGCAGCGGUUCUGACGUGCAAAUCGAUCGU